GUCAUCAUCGGCCCUUACGGCCUGGGCUACACACGUGCUACAAUGGUCGGUACAAAGGGUUGCCAAGCCGCGAGGUGGAGCUAAUCCCAUAAAACCGAUCGUAGUCCGGAUCGCAGUCUGCAACUCGACUGCGUGAAGUCGGAAUCGCUAGUAAUCGUGAAUCAGAAUGUCACGGUGAAUACGUUCCCGGGCCUU
Molecule: ribosomal RNA, 195 nt
Filed under: uncultured Pseudomonas sp.
Lineage: Bacteria; Pseudomonadati; Pseudomonadota; Gammaproteobacteria; Pseudomonadales; Pseudomonadaceae
Description: partial 16S ribosomal RNA
Rfam family: Bacterial small subunit ribosomal RNA
Source: RNAcentral